AAACCCUAAACCCUUAAACCUAAACCCUAACUCAAUCACCAUUGACGAGAGCUAACCUAACAGGCAUUACGAAUCAACAAGUUAAAGCCAAAACGCUCCCUGCAACCAAUACCUUGGUACAGGGCCACGAAUCUCUGGAAUUAGUGGUUCAGACAUUUCAUCGAACACCUUUUGGGCGCAGAAAUGUCUGGGCUCAAAUUCCAGUUGAUCAAAAAGCAAUAGGCAUUAAGAACAACUAAUCCAUAAGGGAUCUAUCAAUCAAUACUCAAUCACCUAGCAUACUAAGAAUUCUACACUACUCUAACCCAUCCUCAAACCUAUUCACUACUCAGACAUCAUAACAGAAAGCAUAAACGUUGAACAAGUUGAAAACAUGAUAACAACAGUGUAACAGCAGGAUGAUAACAGAAUGAACAACAGUAAACGAAAUUAAGAACAAAAACUGAAUACUGAAUAUUGAAUAGAUAAAGAGAAAUCCGGAUUACAAAAGGUCUCGAACACAAGGUCUGCGGAAUAAAACUAGAAAAAAAACUUGUUUGCGAAAAUGUGAAGUACAUGCUACUUAUAGCCAAAUAUCCCGAAACCCUAAUACUCAAAACGACGAAGUAUUGGGACGGAUUAAGAACUGUACUCGACCCAAGUGGUCGAGUGGGAGGUCGAGUGAAUAGCUGGAGUCUUCUUUUCUUCAUUGUGCUCGAGUGUCUGGUUGAGUGCGGAAUGAAGAAGACUCUGAAGCUUGCCAUCGGGUAUGUAGUCGAGUUGUGGUGAUGGUGAUACUCGACUUCAAGGUAGAGUGGUGAGAUCGAGUAGUGGUCUGGCAAUGAAGGUGAAGACACUCGACCACGGG
This 847-nucleotide small RNA is filed under the name Arabidopsis thaliana (thale cress). Its description in RNAcentral is "ATSL040090". Lineage: Eukaryota; Viridiplantae; Streptophyta; Magnoliopsida; Brassicales; Brassicaceae. The record is from RNAcentral.